CCUACGGGAGGCUGCAGUAGGGAAUCUUUCACAAUGGGCGAAAGCCUGAUGGAGCAACGCCGCGUGCAGGAUGAAGGCCUUCGGGUUGUAAACUGCUUUUAUAAGCGAGAAAUAUGAUGGUAACUUAUGAAUAAGGAUCGGCUAACUACGUGCCAGCAGCCGCGGUCAUACGUAGGAUCCGAGCAUUAUCCGGAGUGACUGGGUGUAAAGAGUUGCGUAGGUGGCAUAAAAAGUAGCUAGUCAAAUCUGGUGGCUCAACCAUUCAGACUAUUAGCUAAACUGUUAAGCUCGAGAGCGUUAGGGGUAACUGGAAUUUCUAGUGUAGGAGUGAAAUCCGUAGAUAUUAGAAGGAACACCAAUAGCGUAGGCAGGUUACUGGGACGGUUCUGACACUAAGGCACGAAAGCGUAGGGAGCAAACGGGAUUAGAUACCCGUGUAGUC
This 442-nucleotide ribosomal RNA is filed under the name uncultured bacterium. Its description in RNAcentral is "partial 16S ribosomal RNA". It matches the Rfam family "Bacterial small subunit ribosomal RNA", at positions 338 to 795 of the family's 1533-position model. The record is from RNAcentral.